This 645-nucleotide long non-coding RNA is filed under the name Homo sapiens (human). RNAcentral describes it as "HSALNT0373998". The record is from RNAcentral. Lineage: Eukaryota; Metazoa; Chordata; Mammalia; Primates; Hominidae.
GGGGGGGUCAGCCCCCCACCUGGCCAGCCGUGCCGUCCGGGAGGGAGGUGGGGGGGUCAGCCCCCCGCCCGGCCAGCCGCCCCGUCCGGGAGGUGAGGGGCACCUCUGCCCGGCCGCCCCUACUGGGAAGUGAGGAGCCCCUCAGCCCGGCCAGCCACCCCGUCCGGGAGGGAGAUGGGGGGGUCAGCCCCCCCACCCGGCCAGCCGCCCCGUCCGGGAGGGAGGUGGGGGGGUCAGCCCCCCGCCUGGCCAGCCGCCCCGUCUGGGAGGUGAGGGGCCCCUCUGCCCAGCCGCCCCUACUGGGAAGUGAGGAGCCCCUCUGCCCGGCCAGCCGCCCCAUCCGGGAGGGAGGUGGGGGUGUCAGCCCCCCGCCCGGCCAGUCGCCCUGUCCGGGAGGGAGGUGGGGGGGGUCAGCCCCCCUGCCCGGCCAGCCGCCCCGUCCGGGAGGGAGGUGGGGGUGUCAGCCCCCCGCCCGGCCAGCCGCCCUGUCCGGGAGGGAGGUGGGGGGGGUCAGCCCCCCUGCCCGGCCAGCCGCCCCGUCCGGGAGGUGAGGGGUGCCUCUGCCCGGCCGCCCCUACUGGGAAGUGAGGAGCCCCUCUGCCCGGCCAGCCGCCCCGUCCGGGAGGGAGGUUGGGGGGUCAGCCC